Molecule: non-coding RNA, 1039 nt
Organism: Schizosaccharomyces pombe (fission yeast)
Lineage: Eukaryota; Fungi; Ascomycota; Schizosaccharomycetes; Schizosaccharomycetales; Schizosaccharomycetaceae
Source: the annotation of a GenBank genome assembly
CAAGUAUUACAUGUUCUGCUGCGUGAAUUUUUUCUUCUAGUGCUUCAAUACUAUCGGUUGACAAAAUGGGAACCUCUUGCACGAUAAUAGGUUUUCCUUCAUCGACUGCUGCAAUCACCCAAUGUACCAUAGCACCGGUGUGAGUGAUCUUUCCUUGCUGGGCAGCUUCGAACGCGCGUUCGAUAGCAUGAAUACCGUUAAAAGCGCCAGGAAGAGCUGGAUGAAGAUUAAUAAUUCCGAUUUUAUUUGUUUCUAAAGGAAUCAACACUUCUGGGGACAAAAUGUGCAUCCAUCCAGCACAGACAACCAAGGAUGGUUGAAGCUUAAUUAUCUUUUCCGCCAACUCAGCAUCAUACUUUUUUCUUCCUAUCUCAGGUCCGUAUUCCUUUUUGUAGGGUAACAAUGUAUGCAAAGACGUUGGUAUCCCAGCUUUCGCGGCUCUUUCUAAGCCAUAAGCAUUUUUGCGGUUUGACAAAACGUGCGUUACAGCUGCUUCUCCCUUUAAAACUCCAUUCAGCGUAGCAUCAAUUAUUGCUUGGAGGUUAGAACCUGAUCCCGAAAUUAACACGACAAGUGAAGCUACCAUCUUGUACGAAGUGGCCGGUGGUAGUCAGGUGAAGAUUAUUGUUAUGAAGAAGCUUACUUGAAAAAAAAAUUUUUUUUUCAUAAAGAUCAAUAGUUAUAUUAAAUGUUAAUAUAAAUAUUUAGUACUGUGACUUUGAUACAUAAGUUUUUUAACAGCUGAAUUUCUAAUUAACUAAACAUCCAUUAUUAGCUGCUAGUUAAGGAUUGCUUAAGGGUCCGAUGAUAAAAGAUCAAAAGAUAAAUUUAAUAAUUUAAACUAUUCGUUUAUGUUUCUCGUAGUAACUCGAAACCUUGAUUUGGUUCUACGAAUUAACUUGACCUCACUUCAGCAACAUAAAAUUCUCUUUUAUUAAUUUCGUCGCUCUCACUGAUGCUUUAGCAUCAGGCGAAAUUUAUUUGUUAUCUUUACUACUCUUCGUCAGAUUAAUAAACUUUUUUUUUAUUUCAUAUAAUA